UAGUGAAUUAGAGCGUCUCUUCGGAGAGCUCAACCUUCAUUUUCCAACUCUGUGCACUAUUGGCGGAUUAGUAAGCGAUUACUAGUCCGCGGCUCAUUUUAAACAUUAGUUAUUGUAUGUAAAUAAAAUAUAAAAUAAGAAAAACUUUCAACAACGGAUCUCUUGGCUCUCGCAUCGAUGAAGAACGCAGCGAAAUGUGAUAAGUAAUGUGAAUUGCAGAAUUCAGUGAAUCAUCGAAUCUUUGAACGCACCUUGCGCUCCUUGGUAUUCCGAGGAGCACGCCUGUUCGAGUGUCGUGAAACUCUCAAGCUUGAUGCCUUAGUGUCAUCAGCUUGGUUAUUGGACUCUGCUGUCUCCUUCUCUGGAACGGCUGGUCUCAAAUGAAUUAGCUGGCCCUUGUUGUGGGACUUGGUUCUACUCAGCGUGAUAAUCUAUGACCGCUGAGGACAUCUCUCGGGAUGGCCAGACCUGCCUAGGACUGCUUCUAACUCAUCAUUUUCAUGAUAUUUUUCAACUUUGACCUCGAAUCAGGUGGGACUACCCGCUGAACUUAAGCAUAUCAAUAAGCGGAGGAAAAGAAACUAACAAGGAUUCCCCUAGUAACGGCGAGUGAAGCGGGAUGAGCUCAAAUUUAAAAUCUGGCAGUCUUUGAUUGUCCGAGUUGUAAUCUAGAGAAGCGUUUUCCGCGCUGGACUGUGUACAAGUUUCCUGGAUACGGAACAUCAUAGAGGGUGAGAAUCCCGUCCUUGACACAGACUCCCAGUGCUCUGUGAUGCGCUCUCGACGAGUCGAGUUGUUUGGGAUUGCAGCUCAAAAUGGGAGGUAAAUUCCUUCUAAAGCUAAAUAUUGGCGAGAGACCGAUAGCGAACAAGUACCGUGAGGGAAAGAUGAAAAGCACUUUGGAAAGAGAGUUAAACAGUACGUGAAAUUGUUAAAAGGGAAACGAUUGAAGUCAGUCGCGUUUGCUUGGACUCAGCCUUACUUCGGUAUGGUGCAUUUCCUUGCGAACGGGCCAGCGUCCAUGUUGUCCGUCGGAAAAGGUGCGUGGGAAUGUGGCUUCUUCGGGAGUGUUAUAGCCCAUGUUCGUAUACGGCGUGUGAUAUGGAGUGGUACAG
RNAcentral lists this ribosomal RNA (1115 nucleotides) under uncultured fungus. Its description in RNAcentral is "eukaryotic LSU rRNA". The stretch from base 518 to 1115 matches the Rfam family "Eukaryotic large subunit ribosomal RNA", at positions 1 to 598 of the family's 3401-position model. Lineage: Eukaryota; Fungi. The record is from RNAcentral.